GUUUGUCCUGAUGGCUAAAGAUGUGUCUAGGGAAGUAACCACCCUUUCUCCUUCCCACCCCACUGCCAUGUUCUUUUCAUGUAAUUCCUGCCCCUGAACUCUCAGCUACUUAUUGCUAUAGUGCCUUAUUUUUACUUCACCACUGAGCUACCUCCCCAGCCCUUUCCCACCCCCUACUUUGAGGUAGGGUCUUGCUAAAUUGCCCAGGCUGGCCUCAAACUUGCAAUCUUCCCACUGCCUCAGACUCCUGAGUAGCUGGGAUUACAGGUGUGUACUACUGUGCCUCACUGCUUAUUGGUCUUAUUCUGUAGUCAUAUCUGUGUAUGUCCUGUGAUCUAGAAGACUGGAAGCUCACGAAGAGUAGAGUAUUUGUCUUUGAAUUCAAAGAGUAUUUGUCUUUGAAUUCCCCACAGCGCCUUGUCCCUGGCACAAGUAGAUUCAUAAUAAGGUUAGUUGAAUGAAUCUAGUUGAGGAGAAAAUGGGGAAGCAGAAAGUAAUGGUGCCAGAGAAGAUGUGAUAGUGUUCCAGUUAAGGGUCUUAGUAAGAAGUGAUGAGGUUUGUAAGGGUGGUGAUUGGGAGCAAGGGAUUAGAAGAUGCUUAGGAGUUGAUGGGGAGGAAAGUGGAU
RNAcentral lists this long non-coding RNA (625 nucleotides) under Marmota monax (woodchuck). The record is from RNAcentral. Lineage: Eukaryota; Metazoa; Chordata; Mammalia; Rodentia; Sciuridae.